AAAGUCGUAACAAGGUUUCCGUAGGUGAACCUGCGGAAGGAUCAUUAUUGAAUAAACCUGAUGUGGUUGUUGCUGGCUCUCUCGAGAGUAAUGUGCACGCCCGUCAUCUUUAUAUCUCCACCUGUGCACCUUUUGUAGACCUGGGGAUUGAGUAACAUCAAUCGUUAGGCCUAUGUUUUAUCAUAUACCCCAUAGUAUGUAUCAGAAUGUAUCAAUGGGCUUCGUGCCUAUAAACUAUAUACAACUUUCAGCAACGGAUCUCUUGGCUCUC
Molecule: unclassified non-coding RNA, 271 nt
Filed under: Basidiomycota sp.
Lineage: Eukaryota; Fungi; Basidiomycota
Description: partial contains small subunit ribosomal RNA, internal transcribed spacer 1, and 5.8S ribosomal RNA
Rfam family: Eukaryotic small subunit ribosomal RNA (bases 1-47)
Source: RNAcentral